GUGGGGAAUCUUAGACAAUGGGGGAAACCCUGAUCUAGCCAUGCCGCGUGAGCGAUGAAGGCCUUAGGGUUGUAAAGCUCUUUCAGAUGGGAAGAUAAUGACGGUACCAUCAGAAGAAGCCCCGGCUAACUCCGUGCCAGCAGCCGCGGUAAUACGGAGGGGGCUAGCGUUGUUCGGAAUUACUGGGCGUAAAGCGCACGUAGGCGGACCAGAAAGUCAGAGGUGAAAUCCCAGGGCUCAACCUUGGAACUGCCUUUGAAACUCCUGGUCUUGAGGUCGAGAGAGGUGAGUGGAAUUCCGAGUGUAGAGGUGAAAUUCGUAGAUAUUCGGAGGAACACCAGUGGCGAAGGCGGCUCACUGGCUCGAUACUGACGCUGAGGUGCGAAAGCGUGGGGAGCAAACAGGAUUAGAUACCCGUGUAGUCC
RNAcentral lists this ribosomal RNA (425 nucleotides) under uncultured bacterium. Its description in RNAcentral is "partial 16S ribosomal RNA". It matches the Rfam family "Bacterial small subunit ribosomal RNA", at positions 354 to 796 of the family's 1533-position model. The record is from RNAcentral.